This 433-nucleotide ribosomal RNA is filed under the name uncultured bacterium. Its description in RNAcentral is "partial 16S ribosomal RNA". It matches the Rfam family "Bacterial small subunit ribosomal RNA", at positions 29 to 507 of the family's 1533-position model. The record is from RNAcentral.
AACGAACGCUGGCGGCAUGCCUAACACAUGCAAGUCGAACGAAACCUUCGGGUCUAGUGGCGCACGGGUGCGUAACGCGUGGGAACCUGCCCUUAGGUUCGGAAUAACUCCCCGAAAGGGGUGCUAAUACCGGAUAAUGUCUUCGGACCAAAGAUUUAUUGCCUUUGGAUGGGCCCGCGUUGGAUUAGAUAGUUGGUAGGGUAAAAGCCUACCAAGGCGACGAUCCAUAGCUGGUCUGAGAGGAUGAUCAGCCACACUGGGACUGAGACACGGCCCAGACUCCUACGGGAGGCAGCAGUGGGGAAUAUUGGACAAUGGGCGAAAGCCUGAUCCAGCAAUGCCGCGUGAGUGAUGAAGGCCUUAGGGUUGUAAAGCUCUUUUACCCGGGAUGAUAAUGACAGUACCGAGAGAAUAAGCUCCGGCUAACUCCGUG